UACGGGGGGAGCAAGCGUUGUUCGGAUUUACUGGGCGUAAAGGGCGCGUAGGCGGCCACGACAAGUCACUUGUGAAAUCUCCGGGCUUAACUCGGAACGGUCAAGUGAUACUGUCGGGCUAGAGUGCAGAAGGGGCAACUGGAAUUCUCGGUGUAGCGGUGAAAUGCGUAGAUAUCGGGAGGAACACCAGUGGCGAAGGCGACUACCUGGCCUGUUCUUGACGCUGAGGCGCGAAAGCUAGGGGAGCAAACGGG
This 254-nucleotide ribosomal RNA is filed under the name uncultured bacterium. RNAcentral's name for it is "partial 16S ribosomal RNA". It matches the Rfam family "Bacterial small subunit ribosomal RNA", at positions 524 to 776 of the family's 1533-position model. The record is from RNAcentral.